CAUACACACACAGAGAGGAAAUAGAUUUUCCAUUUCCUAUUCCUACAAUCUGAACAACUCCAUUUCUCUUAUGUAUAUAUAAAAUAAAAAACUCAAAAGACACUAUAAAUAUUACAGAUGAUCAUGAACACAGGAAAAGGCCGAGUGAAUGGAUGUGGUGGUGUAGGAUAAACAAGUAGAAAAAUGGAAUGAUGCCUCAGGACUUGUGCCUGUGAUGAUAUCAUGUGUCAUCCAAAAGCCAAAUGUCUCUGCUUGUGCAGGAACUCCAAUUCCCUUCCCUUUGUGUGCAUCCAAGUGAUAGCUUGUGUAUCCCUUUAAAGUGAUCCAUGUUGCCAUGUUGGUGGUGGCGAGAUGUAGAUGACAAGAGCAUCUCAGUUAUUAAAGGGACGGCAAAAUUCCACAAGAAAGAGACUGCCAUUUGUUCUGCCACCUCUGAUCUCAUCUUCUUCUUUCUGUGACAGGAGGAGGCCAUUUCCCGCAGGGAAGUGCCGAGGGUGCAUCAAGCAGCUUUUCCUUUAUCGCAAUUCAAUGCCUUUAUGCAGCUGAAGGAGGCCUAAGCCUCAUCGACAAUAUUUCUGCCGAACAUGAACAGUUCCAACCCAGAACCAUCAUCAGAAGAUGUCUUGGAAGAAGCAAGCAGUCAAGCGGCUUCCGAUAUGUGUGGCCAAGAGUCUUCUCCUACUCCGCCGCCCUUCUCUCUCAAUCCCUCCCUCACCAUCAACGCAGGUCCAACAGCACCAUCAGCUGUUCCGUGGUCGAGCACAAGCGAAGGCGGCAGCGCACCGAGUUCACAAAGAGUCUUCUCCUGCGGCUACUGCCGACGCAAGUUCUUCAGCUCCCAAGCCCUCGGUGGCCAUCAGAACGCUCACAAGAGGGAACGAACGCUCGCGAAGAGGGCACUGAGUUCGCAUGCAUUUCUUCCACGCAGUUACGCCAGCAUUGCGUCUUUGCCCCUUCAUGGAUCUGCUCUCCGGUCACUGGAGAUCAAAGCACACUCAUCGGUGCAUCAGAAGUGGAGAGAGAUCCAUCGCAGCAGCAGAAGGUGUGGAAAAAGCUUGCUCGAGCCGAGGCCCGUCUUCCUGGAGGAUGAGGAGACGAAGUUCCGUUGGCCUGGAAGCUUUAGGCCGAUGGCAGGUUCGAGUUCAGAACCGGCGGAGGAUUCAGAUGUGGCAACAGGGGAUCAGCAGCCGGUAGAGGAACCCGAUCUCGCUCUCAGACUCUAAGCGCAUAAGCUGGCAUCUUCUCUCCGAAAGCUUGUGUGUUCUUGAUGUCAUUCAUGAACAAUAAUUCUAUGCUUCUCGGUGUGAUGAUACGUCUCCAGGAGAAAGAAUUUACUUCCGCCGACUAAA
Musa acuminata AAA Group (dessert banana) is the source of this 1349-nucleotide long non-coding RNA. RefSeq lists it as uncharacterized. The record is from RefSeq and is a predicted model, not a curated record. The transcript has 2 exons. Lineage: Eukaryota; Viridiplantae; Streptophyta; Magnoliopsida; Zingiberales; Musaceae.